GCUGGAUUCGCUAGUAAUCGCGCAUCAGCCACGGCGCGGUGAAUACGUUCCCGGGCCUUGUACACACCGCCCGUCAAGCCAUGGAAGCCGGGGGUGCCUGAAGUGCGCUGCCGCAAGGAGCGCCCUAGGGUAAAACCGGUGACUGGGGCUAAGUCGUAACAAGGUACC
Molecule: ribosomal RNA, 168 nt
Filed under: uncultured bacterium
Lineage: Bacteria
Description: partial 16S ribosomal RNA
Rfam family: Bacterial small subunit ribosomal RNA
Source: RNAcentral